GUUUCAAUGAAGCUUCCCAUCACACAUCAAUCUUUCAAUAUCGAUGUUGCAAUAUAAUUGUUGCAACAUCGUUAAAGGUUGUAUGUGCUACCUUCUUUGAUGGGAGAGUUGUGGUUUCCCUUGAUAAUGGUAUGUGUUUUUGUUUUUGAUUUUUACUGAAGUUUUGUUAUAUGAGUUGUGACUAAAUUAUGAUUGUGAAUGAUCUGCUGCAGAUGAUGAUGAUGAUGAUUGUUCUACUGUUAUGAUGAUGAUGAUGAUGUAGAAGCUGUAG
Molecule: long non-coding RNA, 271 nt
Filed under: Helianthus annuus (common sunflower)
Lineage: Eukaryota; Viridiplantae; Streptophyta; Magnoliopsida; Asterales; Asteraceae
Description: sRNA HanXRQr2_Chr03g0109681
Source: RNAcentral